CCUACGGGAGGCAGCAGUAGGGGAUUUUGCGCAAUGGGCGGAACCCUGACGCAGCAACGCCGCGUGAGUGUAGAACCGUUCGGGGUGUAAAGUUCUGUCAAUAAGGGCGAAUUUUGACUGUACCUGUAGAAGAAGCACCGGCUAACUCCGUGCCAGCAGCCGCGGUAAUACGUGGGGGGCAAGCGUUGUCCGGAUUCAUUGGGCGUAAAGCGUUCGUAGGCGGCGAGGUAAGUCGGAUGUUAAAGCCCGGGGCUCAACUCCGGUACUGCAUUUGGUACUAUGUAGCUAGAAUGCGGGAGGGGUAAAGGGAAUUCCUGGUGUAGCGGUGAAAUGCGUAGAUAUCAGGAGGAACAUCGGUGGCGAAAGCGCUCUACUGGACCAUUAUUGACGUUGAGGAACGAAAGCCAGGGGAGCAAAUGGGAUUAGAUACCCGUGUAGUC
This 440-nucleotide ribosomal RNA is filed under the name uncultured bacterium. Its description in RNAcentral is "partial 16S ribosomal RNA". It matches the Rfam family "Bacterial small subunit ribosomal RNA", at positions 338 to 795 of the family's 1533-position model. The record is from RNAcentral.